AUUUAUAUAGUUUAAUAAAAACAUUAUAUUUUCAAUAUAAAGAUAAAAAUAAUUUUUAUAAAUA
RNAcentral lists this transfer RNA (64 nucleotides) under Paroster microsturtensis. RNAcentral's name for it is "tRNA-Glu". Lineage: Eukaryota; Metazoa; Arthropoda; Insecta; Coleoptera; Dytiscidae. The record is from RNAcentral.